GACGAACGCUGGCGGCGUGCCUAAUACAUGCAAGUAGAACGCUGAAGGAGGAUCUUGCUUCUCUGGAUGAGUUGCGAACGGGUGAGUAACGCGUAGGUAACCUGCCUGGUAGCGGGGGAUAACUAUUGGAAACGAUAGCUAAUACCGCAUAAGAGUAGAUGUUGCAUGACAUUUGCUUAAAAGGUGCAAUUGCAUCACUACCAGAUGGACCUGCGUUGUAUUAGCUAGUUGGUGAGGUAACGGCUCACCAAGGCGACGAUACAUAGCCGACCUGAGAGGGUGAUCGGCCACACUGGGACUGAGACACGGCCCAGACUCCUACGGGAGGCAGCAGUAGGGAAUCUUCGGCAAUGGACGGAAGUCUGACCGAGCAACGCCGCGUGAGUGAAGAAGGUUUUCGGAUCGUAAAGCUCUGUUGUAAGAGAAGAACGAGUGUGAGAGUGGAAAGUUCACACUGUGACGGUAUCUUACCAGAAAGGGGCGGCUAACUACGUG
This 495-nucleotide ribosomal RNA is filed under the name uncultured bacterium. RNAcentral describes it as "partial 16S ribosomal RNA". It matches the Rfam family "Bacterial small subunit ribosomal RNA", at positions 28 to 507 of the family's 1533-position model. The record is from RNAcentral.